GUUGGAGGUGGGGCCUGGGGACAUGACUGGAUCAUGGGUGCAGGUCCUUCAUGAAUGGUUUAGCACCAUCCCCUUGGUGAUAAGUUCUCACCCAGAGUUCAUGUGAGUUCUGGUUGUUUAAAAGUGUGUGGAGGCUGGGUGCAGUGGCUCACACCUAUAACCCCAGCACUUGGGGAGGCUGAGUUGGGCAGAAUACUAGAGAUCAGGAGUUUGAGACCAGCCUGGCCAACAUGGUGAAACCACAUCUCUACUAAAAAUACAAAAAAAUAGCUGGGUUUGGUGGCAUGAGCCUGUAAUUCCAGCUACUCAGGAGGCUGAAACAGGAAUCGCUUGAUCCCAGGAGGCAGAGGUUGCAGUGAGCCGAGAUCACACCACUGCACUCCAGCCUUGGUGACAGAGUGAGAAUCCAUCUAAAAAAAAAAAAGAAAAGAAAAAGAAAAAAAAGAAAAGAUGUGGCACUUCUCCCCUCCCUCUGUUGCCCCUGCUCUCACCAUGUAAUGUGCCUGCUGCCACGUCAAAUUCUGCCAUGAAUAAAUGUUUCCUGAGGCUCUCACCAGAAGCAGAUGCCAGAACCAUGCAUCCUACAAG
This 588-nucleotide long non-coding RNA is filed under the name Homo sapiens (human). RNAcentral describes it as "HSALNT0312650". The record is from RNAcentral. Lineage: Eukaryota; Metazoa; Chordata; Mammalia; Primates; Hominidae.